CUGUACCUGCAGUCGACGGUGAACCAAGCUUGCUUGGUGAUCAGUGGCGAACGGGUGAGCCCCUAAAGACCCACCUGCCCUGGACUCUGGGAUAAGCGCUGGACACUGAGUCUAAUACUGGAUAUGAGCUCUCAUCGCAUGGUGGGGGUUGGAAAGAUUUUUCGGUCUGGGAUGGGCUCGCGGCCUAUCAGCUUGUUGGUGAGGUAAUGGCUCACCAAGGCGUCGACGGGUAGCCGGCCUGAGAGGGUGACCGGCCACACUGGGACUGAGACACGGCCCAGACUCCUACGGGAGGCAGCAGUGGGGAAUAUUGCACAAUGGGCGGAAGCCUGAUGCAGCAACGCCGCGUGAGGGAUGACGGCCUUCGGGUUGUAAACCUCUUUUAGCAGGGAAGAAGCGAGAGUGACGGUACCUGCAGAAAAAGCGCCGGCUAACUACGUGCCCGCAGCCGCGGUAAUACGUAGGGCGCAAGCGUUAUCCCGGAUUAUUGGGGCGUAAAGAGCUCGUAGGCGGGUUGUCGCGUCUGCUGUGAAAUCCCCAGGCUCCACCUCCGGGCUGCAGGGGGUACGGGCAAACUAAAGUGCGGGUGGGGGAGAUUGGAAAUCCCGGGGGUACCGGGGGAAUGGGCCAAAAUUCAGGAAGAAACCCCAUGGGGAAAGGGGGAUCUCCGGGGCCCUACCUGACCCCUUAAGAAGCGAAAGGGGGGGGGAGAAAACAGGCCUUAAACCCCCCGGGAACC
RNAcentral lists this ribosomal RNA (739 nucleotides) under uncultured bacterium. RNAcentral describes it as "partial 16S ribosomal RNA". It matches the Rfam family "Bacterial small subunit ribosomal RNA", at positions 49 to 795 of the family's 1533-position model. The record is from RNAcentral.